AAAAUAAAUCCUACUACUUCUGGUCCUGGGGGUUUCCGCACUUGAAAAAAAAACCUGGGGCGUAUUGCUCAAAUCAUUGGUCCGGUACUAGAUGUAUCUUUUCCACCCGGCAAGAUGCCUAAUAUUUACAACGCUCUGGUAGUUAAGGGUCGAGAUACCGCUGGUCAACAAAUUAAUGUGACUUGUGAAGUACAGCAAUUAUUAGGAAAUAAUCGAGUUAGAGCGGUAGCUAUGAGUGCUACAGAUGGUCUAACGAGAGGAAUGGAAGUAAUUGAUACAGGAGCUCCUUUAAGUGUUCCAGUCGGCGGAGCGACUCUAGGACGUAAUUUUUAACGUACUUGGAGAGCCUGUGGAUAAUUUAGGUCCUGUAGAUACUCGUACAACAUCUCCUAUUCAUAGAUCUGCGCCUGCCUUUAUACAGUUAGAUAACAAAAUUAUCCAUUUUUGAAACAGGAAUUAAAGUCGUAGAUCUUCUACGCCCCCUAUCGUCGUGGAAGGAAAAAUCGGUACUUUUUGGGGGGAGCUGGAGUAGGUAAAACAGUACUC
RNA transcript from Fragaria vesca subsp. vesca, 546 nucleotides. It is a transcript of the gene named ATP synthase subunit beta, chloroplastic-like, with no coding region annotated. The record is from RefSeq and is a predicted model, not a curated record. NCBI's taxonomy places the organism in Eukaryota, Viridiplantae, Streptophyta, Magnoliopsida, Rosales, Rosaceae. The annotation marks the transcript as partial. The transcript has a single exon.